UACGUAGGGUGCAAGCGUUAAUCGGAAUUACUGGGCGUAAAGCGUGCGCAGGCGGUCGUGCAAGACAGAUGUGAAAUCCCCGGGCUUAACCUGGGAACUGCAUUUGUGACUGCACGGCUGGAGUGCGGCAGAGGGGGAUGGAAUUCCGCGUGUAGCAGUGAAAUGCGUAGAUAUCAGGAGGAAUACCGAUGGCGAAGGCAGGUCUCUGGGCUGACACUGACGCUCAUGCACGAAAGCGUGGGGAGCAAACAGG
This 253-nucleotide ribosomal RNA is filed under the name uncultured bacterium. Its description in RNAcentral is "partial 16S ribosomal RNA". It matches the Rfam family "Bacterial small subunit ribosomal RNA", at positions 524 to 776 of the family's 1533-position model. The record is from RNAcentral.